UAUAUGUCUGCAAGGAUCAAGUUUCUCUAUGCGUAAGGUCUACUUCUGGGCUUUCUGUUUUGUUCAUCAGGUCUAUCCAUUGGACCAUAACCACACUUAAAGGGCCAUCAUCUGAAUCACGUUCCUGUAUUCGGGAUUUGAGCCUCCAAAACAGUUUUGAUGGGAGACACCAGCCACCUACUAUUAUGCAGCCAUGCACCACAUAACGACGUUUCAGGCAACAAUGACUGCACAUACCACAGUGGUCCCGUAAAAUUACAAUGGAGCUGAAAAAUUCCUAUUUUCUAGUGACAUCACAGCCAUUGCAAGGUCAGAGUGCAACACAUCACUCAUGUGUUUGUGUUGAUGCUGCUGUAAACAAACCUACCGCACUACCAGUCAUAUAAAAGUAUAGCCCAUACAAUUAUAUGUAGUACUUAAUACUUAAUAAUAAUAAACAACUAUGUUGCUGGUUUA
Molecule: long non-coding RNA, 456 nt
Organism: Pan troglodytes (chimpanzee)
Lineage: Eukaryota; Metazoa; Chordata; Mammalia; Primates; Hominidae
Exons: 2
Source: RefSeq, a predicted model, not a curated record